This 70-nucleotide transfer RNA is filed under the name Macaca tonkeana (Tonkean macaque). RNAcentral describes it as "tRNA-Gly". The record is from RNAcentral. Lineage: Eukaryota; Metazoa; Chordata; Mammalia; Primates; Cercopithecidae.
UACUCUUUUAGUAUAACCAGUACAGUUGACUUCCAAUCAAUCAGUUUUGACCACAUUCAAAAAAGAGUAA